This 306-nucleotide ribosomal RNA is filed under the name Triticum aestivum (bread wheat). RNAcentral's name for it is "partial small subunit ribosomal RNA". Lineage: Eukaryota; Viridiplantae; Streptophyta; Magnoliopsida; Poales; Poaceae. The record is from RNAcentral.
AUGUUGACAACAUACUUUAAAGCAAACAACUUACAUGUGAAAGCACGAGGCAUACUAUAUAGGGACUUUCCGGAAUAUUAUACUUGGCAAAGACGAGGGAAAUUUUGGCAAGAAAGGAAACGAGCCGCUCUGUCCCAGGUUGGCAAGAUCAUCUCAGCACACCCGGCCGAAGGAGAACGAUACUAUCUUCGGGUUCUCCUAAACCACGUGACAGGCGCCACCAGCUACGAAGGCCUACGAACAAUUGAUGGACAAGUAAUGCCAACCUUCCGUGAAGCAGCAGAAAAAAGGGGGCUCAUUGAGAUU